Molecule: ribosomal RNA, 320 nt
Filed under: uncultured eukaryote
Lineage: Eukaryota
Description: partial 18S ribosomal RNA
Rfam family: Eukaryotic small subunit ribosomal RNA
Source: RNAcentral
CCCCUAGAUGUUCUGGGCCGCACGCGCGCUACACUGAACAGUUCAACAAGUCUUAACCUUGGCCGAUAGGUCUGGGUAAUCUUUGGACGCUGUUCGUGAUUGGGAUAGACCUUUGCAAUUAUGGGUCUUCAACGAGGAAUUCCUAGUAAACGCAAGUCAUCAGCUUGCAUUGAUUACGUCCCUGCCCUUUGUACACACCGCCCGUCGCACCUACCGAUUGAAUGGUCCGGUGAAAUCUCGGGACGGCGGCUCGGUCGCUUGCGUCCGACUGCUGAAACUUGAUUAAACCAUAUCAUUUAGAGGAAGGUGAANUCGUAACA